Long non-coding RNA from Triticum urartu, 2375 nucleotides. RefSeq lists it as uncharacterized. NCBI's taxonomy places the organism in Eukaryota, Viridiplantae, Streptophyta, Magnoliopsida, Poales, Poaceae. The record is from RefSeq and is a predicted model, not a curated record.
AAAAGGAAAAACAAAUCUGAUCCAGUCCCGAGCCCCACGACCAUUCUCCUCCACUAACCACCGCCGCAGCGCACCCCGCGUCCUCCCUCGUGCCGCCCCUCGACGACUCCAACUCGCCGUCGCCGAGCUCCCGUCGCGGCUGCCCACCGCCACCCCAGCAGGCAUCGUGUAUUUCGCGCAACCAUGAGCCGCCACAGGAAGCAGUCUCCAACCUCCGAUGCCGUCGCGGCUCAUCUUCUGCCAUGGCCAGACGCCUCUCCGCCGUCGAGCGCCGCUCCCCUCGACCCAGAGGAUUUCGGCCGUGUAGGGGGCGUGUUGCAUCCGCUGCUCGUCACCGGCAGGUACGGUCUUCGCCCUCCGUCAAUCUCUCCCCCUUGUCGUUUUCCGUCGUAGGGGAUGCUCGGGGGUUGUUGAUGCUUGUCGGCGGGGAGGUAGUGUCUACAGCACGGUGACUAGUAGUUCCCAGUAGGUUGCCAUGAUUUUUGUGUACAGUUUUGUCUCGGUGAUUUUUCCUCCGGUUGUUUGUAGCUUAGAUCUCGUCUCAGACAGGCGCAUCUUCAUCACGUAGGUACAGGGGAGGAUCCAGUGCUGUUUUUGGUCAGUUUGAUUCGGCGAAAUAGGUUGAUUUGACGUUUUCACCCCAAACCAUAUAUGUGCAUUUUUCGAUCCCACUUUGAUUUGUUUGAUAAAUUGGUAGAUGCGGUAUAUCCACAUUGUCGAUUUCGGGUCAUUGGCAUUUUUUCUGCAUAAUUGCCAUCGAGGCGCAUCCAGUUGGCAUGCGUAUAUGAAUGAGUUGCACCAAAAUAAGAUGCAGUUUGGCGUACCCGUUUGUCCCUGUGAGUAUGUGCAACUUAUAUAUUUUUUUCAGUUGGCAUGUGUUGUUCUAUGAGUUGCACGAAAAUAAUAUGUAGUUGGCGCACCUCUUUUUCCCCCUUUUGUCCCUGUGAGUAUGUACAACUUAUAGUUUUUUUUCAGUUGGCAUGUGUAGUUCUAUGAGUUGCACGAAAAUAAUAUGUAGUUGGCACACCUCUUUUUCCCCCUUUUGUCCCUGUGAGUAUGUGCAACUUAUAGGUUUUUUUCAGUUGGCAUGUGUAGUUCUAUGAUUUGCACAAAAAUAAUAUGUAGUUGGCGCACCUCUUUUUCCCACUUCUGUCCCUGUGAGUAUGUGCAACUUAUAUGUUUUUUCAGUUGGCAUGUCUAGUUCUAUGAGUUGGACGAAAAUAAUAUGUAGUUGGCACACCUCUUUUUCUCCCUUUUGUCCCUGUGAGUAUGUGCAACUAUAGGCUUAUUUCAGUUUUGCCAAAUUAAAGGACUGAUAUGUGCAACUAGUUGUUUGACUAUGUACGCACAUUUUUUGCGACAGUGGUUGAUCCACUUUUGGAUGCGGUUUUUAUCCACUUUGUUGAUUCUGGUGUUUUUGUCCUUUUUUCUGCUUUAAUCACGAUUUGAGUUGUAUUCAGUUGGCAUGUGUAUAUGUGUGAGUUGCACCAAAACAAUAUGCAGUUGGCUCAUUUUGAUUUUUUGUCUUUUUUUUGCCUUUGUGAGUGUGUGCAACUACAUGCUCUUUAGUGUGCAAUUGAAAGAAAUGAUAUGUGCAACCAGAAUGUUUUGGCUCUUUGUGCAUAACCUGUUUUUGCAGUGAAAAUGGAUGCAGAAGGAGAAACCGGUAGAAGCAAAAGGAGGGGUAAUUGGUGAUGUUAUUGUUUUUAGGAAGACUUUUUUGAGGAAGCAUGUUUUGUGCUAUGCACCUGUGCUCAUUUUUUUUAGUAAUUGGUUCUAUUGUUUUUUGUCACAUGGAGGGGAAUGUCGUGCAGCCUAAUCGGCGGAAACGGAAAAGGGCUGCGCAGCGGAUCUCUCGCAGUUCCGGCGGUGGGGAUGAGGUUGAUGAAGCUGAGGCAGAGGGUGGUGACUAGUACCGAAUUGUAAAAUGUCAAAGAUGCAAAGCGAAAGGCGCAGCAACUGAUGUAGGUGGUUCAUCCUCCACAGCAGCUGCUGAGAUCCUUUAUCUCGAUGCGCUCGAUGUUGAUGUGGGAGUAAGUGUAUGUGAUUAUCGAGCUAAUGCUUUCGAUAAGAAUCUUAUCAGGAAGAUUAUAAAGAAAGACAUGAUAUCUCCCAGUGUGUUUGGCAAGCUUCAAAUACCCCCUGUGUGGCAGGCAGUCAGGUGUCAGGUGUCUAUAGUCAUAUUUGGUCUCAUAGGAGGGGAAAUGACAUGGCAGAUCACUGCAAAUUGAACAUAAUAGGCCAGGUCUGCUGAUACUUCGAAAUGUACUUCAAAAGAUGAUGACUACAUCAAUUGUUUGGCAAUUAUAUUUGAAGGAUAUUUGUAUAGCUAUUGACCAGAACAGUUUUUGUUUUCCUCAUUUGUGUUUUUCUUA